GCGGACCCUCAUUCAUCAGAAACGUGGGUAAAAGUUGGCAAAAGAGACACAUUUAAAUACAAGUUGUGAACAGAAAUAUGACUGCUUUUUCCACUUGUGAUCAUUUCGAUAAACGCAUCUUAAUACCAGGCAGGGAUAGGGGCAAAAACAUAGUAUUGGCUUUGCUCUGCUCUUUUUUUUCUUCUUUAUAUUAGUUUACCUCAACCUUCAAUUGUUUUCUGCUUAAUCAUACUGUACAGAAUGAAAUCAUUUAACCAGACAUUCAUGAUUCAUCACUUUUCCAUUGCUUUCACACUGAGACAUUUGGUUCAAAUAGCUCAGUAGACAGCAUAAUAGACAGUUUAAUAGCAACAUGGUCUUGGGCCUCGUGGCUAUUUUAAGUGAUCAGCUAUGUCUCUCUGGCUACACUCUGAUUCUACUAACCUUUCUUCCAUGUGCGUAAAAACCCAUCUGCUUUUCUUCACAAUCAGCGUCCUGUCGUCUUUUCUCUCUACCUCUGCCCUCUCGCUAUAGGCUCACCGACGGUUGCCCAUGAUCCUGUUGAUGCAAACCUCCAGAAACUGACACAGCUUGUUAACAAAGAGUCCAACCUUAUUGAAAAGAUGGAUGACAAUCUUCGCAGCAGCCCACAACACAGACCCCAUAGACAUGAGGCCAAACCCUCAGCCCCCGCCAGUGACAGGAACUCAACGCCUGCCUGAGAAACCCACAUUGACCUUUCCGUUAUUUAUUUAAUUUUCACUGACACAGACAUCCUUUACAAAUCAUAUUUAAAAUAUUAACUCACCAGUAAGGUAAAAAAUGAAUGCAGAUUUUUCAUGAUGCUGUUGCUGAAAUAUCAAAUUGAGUGUUGAACGACAUAAAGGGCUUGUUAAAUGGGCAUUGACCAUAACAUGGCAAUUUGUAUGUUGGACUGAGGAAUCAUAACCAUGUGGCAAUUAUGAAAUAUAAAAAGGGAAAAUAUAAUUAAAAACACAAGAGCUUUAAAUAACAGUUGAUAAGUUAAAAAUACUGUUAAAUAGACUUUGUUCAGUCUUCAUAAAUUCAUUGGAACUUUGAUUUGACCUUUACUUGCUGUUUUUUAGUGUGUGAUUCAAGUGUUGUUUUUUUAAAUGGAUCACAAUCAUUGGCUCACUUGCUUUGUUCAAAAACAGAUUAUUAAUUUAUUAACAGCAAAAUAACCCAUAAUAUUGUGUCUAUAAUGUAACUUAUGAAGAUUAACUUCUACCUUUACUGAAUUAGUUAUCGUUGUUAGACUUUUCCCAUUCCUCCCAGAUUAAAACAUCAGUCAGAGGCUUAAAAUAAGUUCAAUUCGUUUAAUUAAUUAGAUGAAUAAAGCAUUACAGAGCUCUGGGUUUUAGAGAACAGCAACAAGAUCUUCCAUACAGAUUAGCCCAGCAGAAAUAGCUAAUCUGCACAGAAAAAAUAACGCAUACCCAUAACAGAGCCUACAAGAGAGUGAGCCUGGACCCCUCCCCUUUGUGAAUAUUCCUGUAAAUGAGCACACUCUGAAAGAAAACAGUUGUAACAUUUUGCUGAGAACAAGUUCUAAGGAGUUGACUUCUCGGCUAUCAGUCACACAAAGCCACAGCUGUUAAGGAGCAAAGUUAUAUGAGGUUAAACACAUCAGCAUAUGUUGUAAUUAAUUAAAAAUAGAAUUAAAUGUUUAAUGCAAGGGUUAGACUAUUAAUGCAUAGGACAAAGUUAAAAUCAUCAAAAAUUCGUUCAUUGUCUGAAUGCUCUUGAAGUCUCAAUACAUAUUUUUGUUUGUUAUUUUUUUUGUUUGUUUGCUGUGAGUGACAUUUCAUGAUGUCAGCUUUUACAUUGUUAAACCUACAAUUGCAAUAUUAGCCUGUGAUGAAUAUUGCAAAGCCCUAAUUAGGAGUUUGUAACAGUUACUUGCGUUCACAUGGCAGGUGAAAUCUACUAUAGCACACAUGUAGUUUGGCAUUGUGCCUCAAUACAGGAUUUUUUCUUCUGUUUAUUCUGUUUGUGUUUGCAUUAAUGUCACUUAACACAUUCUUUAUACUUUUGGUCCAAAGGGAUCUUGAUCACCAGAUUUUGUGUACCGUGUAUACAUUUGUUGUUUUUCAUAUUCCUCUGAAAUAUUUUAUACAUGCAACGAUUGCCUUUAAAGUGCAGUGCUAUGCCAUGCCAUCUCACCUGGUGUUAUCAGACAUCCUUUGUGUUUUAAGAAAUUGUAUAUUUCCAAAUAUAACUGUGUACAGAAAUAUUUAAGUAGAUGUACAUAAAUGCAAGGCGGCAUUCUUUGAAAAUAAACAGGGUGGAAAGUCA
Danio rerio (zebrafish) is the source of this 2295-nucleotide non-coding RNA. Lineage: Eukaryota; Metazoa; Chordata; Actinopteri; Cypriniformes; Danionidae. The record is from RefSeq and is a predicted model, not a curated record.